AGCAGUCGCCGCGGUAAAACGUAGGUGGCAAGCGUUGUCCGGAAUUAUUGGGCGUAAAGGGCUCGCAGGCGGUUUCUUAAGUCUGAUGUGAAAGCCCCCGGCUCAACCGGGGAGGGUCAUUGGAAACUGGGAAACUUGAGUGCAGAAGAGGAGAGUGGAAUUCCACGUGUAGCGGUGAAAUGCGUAGAGAUGUGGAGGAACACCAGUGGCGAAGGCGACUCUCUGGUCUGUAACUGACGCUGAGGAGCGAAAGCGUGGGGAGCGAACAGGAUUAGAUACCCCUGUAGUCCCUGUCUCUUAUAC
RNAcentral lists this ribosomal RNA (303 nucleotides) under uncultured bacterium. RNAcentral's name for it is "partial 16S ribosomal RNA". It matches the Rfam family "Bacterial small subunit ribosomal RNA", at positions 507 to 807 of the family's 1533-position model. The record is from RNAcentral.